RNAcentral lists this ribosomal RNA (492 nucleotides) under uncultured bacterium. RNAcentral describes it as "bacterial SSU rRNA". It matches the Rfam family "Bacterial small subunit ribosomal RNA", at positions 15 to 507 of the family's 1533-position model. The record is from RNAcentral.
GAUCCUGGCUCAGGAUGAACGCUGGCGGCGUGCUUAACACAUGCAAGUCGAACGGAGUUCCUUGGAUAGAGGUUUCGGGCCAAUUGAAUUGGAACUUAGUGGCGACGGGUGAGUAACGCGUGAGUAACCUGCCUUGGAGUGGGGAAUAACACAGAGAAAUUUGUGCUAAUACCGCAUGAUGCAGUUGGGUCGCAUGGCCCUGACUGCCAAAGAUUUAUCGCUCUGAGAUGGACUCGCGUCUGAUUAGCUAGUUGGCGGGGUAACGGCCCACCAAGGCGACGAUCAGUAGCCGGACUGAGAGGUUGGCCGGCCACAUUGGGACUGAGACACGGCCCAGACUCCUACGGGAGGCAGCAGUGGGGAAUAUUGGGCAAUGGGCGCAAGCCUGACCCAGCAACGCCGCGUGAAGGAAGAAGGCUUCGGGUUGUAAACUGCUUUAGACAGGGAAGAAACAAGACAGUACCUGUAGAAUAAGCUCCGGCUAACUACGUG